GAUGAACGCUGGCGGCGUGCCUAAUACAUGCAAGUCGAGCGAACGGACGAGAAGCUUGCUUCUCUGAUGUUAGCGGCGGACGGGUGAGUAACACGUGGAUAACCUACCUAUAAGACUGGGAUAACUUCGGGAAACCGUAGCUAAUACCGGAUAAUAUUUUGAACCGCAUGGUUCAAAAGUGAAAGACGGUCUUGCUGUCACUUAUAGAUGGAUCCGCGCUGCAUUAGCUAGUUGGUAAGGUAACGGCUUACCAAGGCAACGAUGCAUAGCCGACCUGAGAGGGUGGUCGGCCACACUGGAACUGAGACACGUUCCAGACUCCUACGGGAGGCAGCAGUAGGGAAUCUUACGCGAGGGGCGAAUGCCUGACGGAGCAACGCCGCGUGAGUGAUGAAGGUCUUCUGAUCGUAAAACGCUGUUAUUAGUGAAGAACAUAUGUGUAAGUAACUGUGCACAUCUUGACGGUACCUAAUCAGAAAGCCACGGCUAACUACGUG
This 497-nucleotide ribosomal RNA is filed under the name uncultured bacterium. Its description in RNAcentral is "partial 16S ribosomal RNA". It matches the Rfam family "Bacterial small subunit ribosomal RNA", at positions 28 to 507 of the family's 1533-position model. The record is from RNAcentral.